AUCAUAUUUUAGCGAAAUUCUGCGAGAAAGAAAGAGAUGUACGGUCUCAGUCUAUCCAAUAGACUGUCAGUUUUAGGAAAUAUGGUUGGAUAUACAAUAUCGUUCUGUAACAAUUCAUUAAAAAAAGGAUAUGUUAUGAAAAUAAUUCCGAAAGACACAGAACGCCGAAUGAAUUGGUUAAAGAGUAUAAAUG
This is a long non-coding RNA of Acromyrmex echinatior (Panamanian leafcutter ant), 193 nucleotides long. The record is from RefSeq and is a predicted model, not a curated record. NCBI's taxonomy places the organism in Eukaryota, Metazoa, Arthropoda, Insecta, Hymenoptera, Formicidae.